RNAcentral lists this unclassified non-coding RNA (599 nucleotides) under Penicillium ochrosalmoneum. RNAcentral describes it as "sequence contains ITS1, 5.8S rRNA gene and ITS2". The record is from RNAcentral. Lineage: Eukaryota; Fungi; Ascomycota; Eurotiomycetes; Eurotiales; Aspergillaceae.
GGGAGCUGUUGUACCGACUGAUCGAGAUCACCUAGAAGAAAUUGGGGGGUCGGCGGGCGCCGGCCGGGCCUCCCAGAUCGGGUGACAGAGCCCCAUACGCUCCAGGACCGGACGCGGUGCCGCCGCUGCCUUUAGGGCCCGUCCAGCCCCCCGCCCCCGGGGGGAGGGGGGCGGCGGACGGGGCCCAACACACAAGCCGUGCUUGAGGGUGGCAAUGAUGCUCGGACAGGCAUGCCCCCCGGAAUACCAGGGGGCGCAAUGUGCGAUUCAAAGACUCUAUGAUUCACUGAAUUCUGCAAUUCACAUUACUUAUCGCAUUUCGCUGCGUUCUUCAUCGAUGCCGGAACCAAGAGAUCCGUUGUUGAAAGUUUUAACUAAUUUCGCUAUUCGCUCAGACCGCACUCUUCAUACAGCGUUCGGUAGUGUCUUCGGCGGGCGCAGGCCGGGGGGGCCCCGGCCGCCGGGCAGGAGGGCCCGCCGAAGCAACAAGGAACAGGAGACACGGGCGGGAGGAUGUAUCGUGUGGAAACCCACUCUGUAAAUAUUUUUCCCAUAAUUCAUCAACAAAAAUUUUUAAAUAACCUACUUAAAUAAUUUAC